RNAcentral lists this ribosomal RNA (1375 nucleotides) under Ceratosolen solmsi. RNAcentral describes it as "16S ribosomal RNA". The record is from RNAcentral. Lineage: Eukaryota; Metazoa; Arthropoda; Insecta; Hymenoptera; Agaonidae.
UAAGCAAGUAGUUUUGUAAUUAAUAAAAGAUAAAAUAAAUAAUUUUUGUUGGGAAGUAUAUGUAUAUUAAAUAAAGUAUUAUUAAUAUUGAAGAAUUUAGUAAUGAAAGAAAAAUUAUUUUUAUUUAUAUUUUUAGUAUUGUAAAAGAAUUUUUUUAUUUAAUUAAAAGAAAUAAUUAAAUUAUGUACCUUUUGUAUCAGGGUUUAUUAAAAUUAAAAAAUAUAUAUUUUUUUCUCGAAGCUAAUAGAUUUAAUUAAUUAUGUAAUUUAAUGUGGCAAUAUUAUAAAUAAUAGUUAAUUGGAAAUGAGAUGUUUAUCGAAAUUAGUAUAUCUAGUUAUUUUAUAAAUGAAUUUAAUUCAGACUAUAUUUUUAAUUAAUUUAAUUGAAGUAAAUAAAAUUUGAAUAUAGUUAAGAAUUUAAGGGAUAAGCUUUAAAUUUUUUUUAAAAUGGUAAGUUAUUAUUUUAUAUAUAUAGAUUAAUUUAAAAUAUUAUUGUAUUUUUUAAUGUUAAUUAUAAAAUAAAAUUUAAGUAAAUUAAAAAUUUAAUUUAUUAUUAAUUUAAUAAUUUAUAAAAUUGAAAAUUUAAAUAAUUUAAAUUUUGGAAUAAUGAUAAAAUUAGUAAAAAUAAUGAUUUAAAAGAUAUUAAUUGAAUUUGAAAGAUUAAAUUAAGGAAUUAGGCAAUAAUUUUAUUCGCCUGUUUAGUAAAAACAUGGUUUAUUGAAAAUAAUUUUAAAUCUAAUCUGCUCAAUGAUUAAUUAAAUAGCUGCAGUAUUUUGACUGUACAAAGGUAGCAAAAUCAAUUGGCUUUUUAUUGAAGUCGGGUAUGAAGGAUUGAACGAGAUAAAAGCUGUCUCAAUUUAAUUAAAGUUUGAAUUUUAUUUUAAGUAAAAAUUCUUAAAUGUAUUUAAAAGACGAGAAGACCCUAUAGAAUUUAAUAGAAAAUAUUGUAUUAUUAAUUUAUAUAUUUUUAAAAUAUAAUAUUAUUUAUUUAAUUGGGGAUAAUUUAAAAAUUUAAAAAAUUUUUUAAUUUAAAAGAAAUUAAUUUUUAAGAAUUAAUAUAUUUAUAUGAAUCAUAAAUUUAUGAUUGUUUAUUAAAAUCCAUUAUUAAUGAAAUUAAAUGAAAUUACCUUAGGGAUAACAGCGUAAUUUUUUUGGAGAGGAUAUUGAUAAAAAAGGUUGCGACCUCGAUGUUGAAUUAAGUUAAAUAGUUAAUAGAAAGAUUAGCUAAAUUAAGUCUGUUCGACUUUUAAAAACUUACAUGAUUUGAGUUUAAAACGGUGUGAGCCAGUUUGGAUUCUAUCUUUAAUUAAUUAAAAUAGUUUUGUACGAAAGGACUUGCUUUUUUUACAAUUGUAAAAAUUUAUGAAUAAAUAUUA